GCGAACGAGGUGCCAGGGGCCGGGGGAAUACAGGGGUCCCGAGCGUUGUUCGGAUUCACGGGGCGUAAAGGGUGAGUAGGCGGUCGGGUAAGUCUGAUGUGAAAUCUCACAGCUUAACUGUGAAACUGCAUUGGAUACUAUUCGGCUUGAGGUCUGGAGGGGGGACUGGAAUUCUCGGUGUAGCAGUGAAAUGCGUAGAUAUCGAGAGGAACACCAGUGGCGAAGGCGAGUCCCUGGACAGGUCCUGACGCUGAGGCACGAAAGCUAGGGGAGCAAACAGGAUUAGAUACCCUAGUAGUC
Molecule: ribosomal RNA, 300 nt
Filed under: uncultured Spiroplasma sp.
Lineage: Bacteria; Bacillati; Mycoplasmatota; Mollicutes; Entomoplasmatales; Spiroplasmataceae
Description: bacterial SSU rRNA
Rfam family: Bacterial small subunit ribosomal RNA
Source: RNAcentral